This 223-nucleotide ribosomal RNA is filed under the name uncultured bacterium. RNAcentral describes it as "partial 16S ribosomal RNA". It matches the Rfam family "Bacterial small subunit ribosomal RNA", at positions 96 to 334 of the family's 1533-position model. The record is from RNAcentral.
UGGCGGACGGGUGAGUAACGCGUGGGUAUCUGUCUCUGGGUGGGGGAUAACCGUGGGAAACUACGGCUAAUACCGCAUGACACCCGAGGGUCAAAGGCGCAAGCCGCCUGGAGAGGAGCCCGCGUACGAUUAGCUUGUUGGCGGGGUAAUGGCCCACCAAGGCGACGAUCGUUAGCUGGUCUGAGAGGAUGAUCAGCCACACUGGGACUGAGACACGGCCCAG